UUCAUCAAUCUCUUUAGCCGCGAUCUUUUCCUAGGAGCUGCCUUACUACUGGCUUUCAAACAUAUACUAUCAAUAACACGAAAAAACCGUAUCCCUUAAGGCAACAUCAAUAGGUACUAGAUGUUAAAAUAAGGAGUAACUUGACUCUUUUCGGCUUCUAAAAUCUCUUUGAUCACAAGACAUGAGCACGAGCCACACACAAGCAUUCAUAACUGCAAGACACCUAACGAACCCUCAGUUGUUUGACUCUUCAUUGCCCCAAUAUAGGUAUUCGGAGAAACUAACUUUGUUGGGUUUGGCAUUGGGAUAAACCUUCCACGGCCAAUUCUGUAUAUCAGCCAUUUGCAAUUUUGCAUUUUCGUUGGAGAAAUUUGCAGCCCACUAGCUUUCUCAGGAGUGCUUCAGAUUAUGCCUGCGAUUUCUUGCACAACUCUCGAGGCAUCAACCAUGUAAUAUCCAUGAUUCAAGGCAGACACAUGCUAGGUCAAACAGGAAAAAGACACUCACUAAUUACCCCUUUUGCAGGAAAUGUAAUGGCAUAGGCUCUCUACAGCAAGUAAUGUACUUAGCAAAAGGAUUCUUGGUGAGUGCCAUUUUCUGCAGGGAAUUCUAGUUAUGAACUAACAUAACCAAAAGCUUCAGCAGAAACAGUACUUUCAGUACAAAGAACCAUCGAAUAUAACAUUGAUUUUUCAGAGCAGAUUUGUGAUGCACAAAAACGGGUCCCAUAGCAGCACCGAUAAGAAAUACGACCACAUACAAAAGAAAACUAGAGUCACGACAGAGCAGGGAUCCCUCAUUUAGAAUCUUCUCAGAGUUUCUCCAAUUCUCUUCCGAGUCUACCAAAGUAGAUAGCCUAUUGCAUUCUAGCAAGUACAAAUGAUAAUCGAAGUGUAUAAAGAUUGCCCAUUUCCUCGUUAAUUCAAUUAAAAUCCAUUGUUUCCCCAUACUAACCAGACAGACCAUCUCCUUCAUCCUUAAUCAUAUUUUAAGAGCAGAAAAAUUAACUAAUACAACAUCAUAACAACAAACUAAGCAAAGCCCACAGCAAGAAUUUGAAGAAACACAUUUAACAAAAAAAGAACUCAAAUCAUCUCUACUUAACAAAAAGAGAGCGGAUGCUCCGCAUAGUCUGACAGUUGAGAUCAACAACUAAAAGCAGUAGUAUUGUGGAAAAGAAAAACAACAUAGUUCGUCCAAAAUCCAUGAAUGUUUCUUCCUCUCCUCAUUCUCUCAAGCUUUACUUCUCAGAGGAAUUGGGCCCUCUCUUCUUGCCAAAU
Molecule: long non-coding RNA, 1280 nt
Organism: Populus euphratica (Euphrates poplar)
Lineage: Eukaryota; Viridiplantae; Streptophyta; Magnoliopsida; Malpighiales; Salicaceae
Exons: 2
Source: RefSeq, a predicted model, not a curated record